This 482-nucleotide ribosomal RNA is filed under the name uncultured bacterium. RNAcentral describes it as "bacterial SSU rRNA". It matches the Rfam family "Bacterial small subunit ribosomal RNA", at positions 28 to 507 of the family's 1533-position model. The record is from RNAcentral.
GACGAACGCUGGCGGCGCGCCUAACACAUGCAAGUCGAACGGAGUUUACAAGCGGAAGUUUUCGGAUGGAAGCUUGUAAACUUAGUGGCGGACGGGUGAGUAACACGUGAGCAACCUGCCUAUCAGAGGGGGAUAACGAUUGGAAACGAUCGCUAAUACCGCAUAACGUAGCGAAAAGGCAUCUUUAUGCUACCAAAGAUUUAUCGCUGAUAGAUGGGCUCGCGUCCGAUUAGAUAGUUGGUGAGGUAACGGCUCACCAAGUCGACGAUCAGUAGCCGGACUGAGAGGUUGAACGGCCACAUUGGGACUGAGAUACGGCCCAGACUCCUACGGGAGGCAGCAGUGGGGGAAUAUUGGGCAAUGGGGGAAACCUGACCCAGCAACGCCGCGUGAAGGAAGAAGGCUUUCGGGUUGUAAACUUCUUUUACCAGGGUACGAAGGACGUGACGGUACCUGGAGAAAAAGCCACGGCUAACUACGUG